AGUGAACGCUGGCAGUAGGCCUAACACAUGCAAGUCGAACGGCAGCACAGUAAGAGCUUGCUCUUACGGGUGGCGAGUGGCGGACGGGUGAGGAAUACAUCGGAAUCUACUUUUUCGUGGGGGAUAACGUAGGGAAACUUACGCUAAUACCGCAUACGACCUACGGGUGAAAGCAGGGGAUCUUCGGACCUUGCGCGAUUGAAUGAGCCGAUGUCGGAUUAGCUAGUUGGCGGGGUAAAGGCCCACCAAGGCGACGAUCCGUAGCUGGCCUGAGAGGAUGAUCAGCCACACUGGAACUGAGACACGGUCCAGACUCCUACGGGAGGCAGCAGUGGGGAAUAUUGGACAAUGGGCGCAAGCCUGAUCCAGCCAUACCGCGUGGGUGAAGAAGGCCUUCGGGUUGUAAAGCCCUUUUGUUGGGAAAGAAAAGCAGCAGGUUAAUACCCCGCUGUUCUGACGGUACCCAAAGAAUAAGCACCGGCUAACUUCGUG
Molecule: ribosomal RNA, 492 nt
Filed under: uncultured bacterium
Lineage: Bacteria
Description: partial 16S ribosomal RNA
Rfam family: Bacterial small subunit ribosomal RNA
Source: RNAcentral